This 328-nucleotide ribosomal RNA is filed under the name uncultured soil bacterium. RNAcentral's name for it is "bacterial SSU rRNA". It matches the Rfam family "Bacterial small subunit ribosomal RNA", at positions 26 to 364 of the family's 1533-position model. The record is from RNAcentral.
AGAUUGAACGCUGGCGGCAUGCCUAACACAUGCAAUUCGAACGGGAGUAGCAAUACUCUAGUGGCGGACGGGUGAGGAAUACGUAGGAAUUUGCCCUUAAGUGGGGGAUAACCCGGGGAAACCCGGAUUAAUACCGCAUGACCUCGAAAGAGCAAAGUGGGGGAUCGCAAGACCUCACGCUUUUGGAGAAGCCUACGUCGGAUUAGCUAGUUGGUGAGGUAAUGGCUCACCAAGGCGACGAUCCGUAACUGGUCUGAGAGGAUGAUCAGUCACACCGGAACUGAGACACGGUCCGGACUCCGUACGGGAGGCAGCGAGGUGGGAAUAG